UGCAGUUGUUCUUGCCCCUCCCGCCCCCCAUUAACCCAGCGUAAAAUCCACUCCCCCUUCUGGCAGCCGUCCCCUUCUCCCCAUCUGCCCUUAGUGCCCGUGCCAGCCUGUGCCCCUCCGCCUGCCUUCAGCACAACGUGCCUUCUGGUUCGGAGCCCGUUCAUCCUCUGCUCCCCGGCGCUGCCCCAGCAAUCACCUCCCUCCUGCCUCGUAGCUGGCCUGUGUGCCGACUGAUCCACCGCGUCUCAGCCUGGGCCCUUCCUCUGCUCGGGGCAAACAUCUCGGCUCUUCCUGUCCCAUCCCUGGUGCUGUUCCGGGCCGGGCCAAAGUCCGAUUGCUUUACGGCUGCAGGGAAGUGUCAGACGCAGGCAGCUGUAAAGAUUGUGCCGUAUUUAUGGACUCGUCUUGUUAAUUUACAGGGCAGCUGGCUACCCACCAAGGUUUUGUGGGGUUAACUGUUGCCUGGGGUCAGGCUGAGGAUAAAACCCUGGUGGAAGUCAGGGGUCCCUGAUCCGAGUUCUCCUUGCAGCAGGAGCUGAGCAUGAGUCUGACGAGCUCAUGUCCGGGCCGGGGAAUGAUCUGACUGCUAAACAGAUCAAACCACCCCAGCCAUGGUGCCUAGCCUGACUCUGCUGGUGCCAUCUGCCUCAGGGGCUGGGAUCAAGAGGCGGGUGAGGGGAUUUUCCUCUGAUUCCCUCCACUAGGGAAAUGCUACACAAAUGUCCCCUGUGCUGUGGUCAAUAUCACUCUGCUGAGAUGUUAAAAGUCAUAAGCUGUACGCUGGCUGGAGAUUCUCCACCAGGAUGUGCGGCUUCCACAGAGUUCAACUUUUUUCCCCAGGAAAAUUUUAGGGUUUUUUCCCCUGACACUUUUCAAUUUUCUGUUGAGAAAAUUUUUAAAUAAAAUCUUUUGUCUGAGGCUGACCUGACUCUGAGCCGUCUGGUUUGUCGAGCUCUACUGCAAUGGUUCCUUGCAGGUUAGUUCAGCGUUAAUCUGCUCCUAGGUGAGCACUGCCUCCUGGUUGUUGUGAUUUUUGGUGCCUCGUCCCCCAUUCUCUGUGGCCCAGCUACCUCAGAACUACUAACUGGGGCAUGUGACCAAUUGCUGAAAUCAGCCUCUGGACCAGAUGCCCAGAGAGUAGCUAAUGGGAUGCUGGUUUUUAAAAAAGGCUCCAGGGGCGAUCCUGGCAAUUACAGGCCAGUAAGUCUAA
Molecule: non-coding RNA, 1210 nt
Organism: Chelonoidis abingdonii (Abingdon island giant tortoise)
Lineage: Eukaryota; Metazoa; Chordata; Testudines; Testudinidae
Source: RefSeq, a predicted model, not a curated record